AUAGAGACUCAGAGCUGCAUAUCAAUAAGCGGAGGAAAAGAAACUAACAAGGAUUCCCUUAGUAACGGCGAGUGAAGCGGGAAGAGCUCAAAUUUGAAAUCUUCAAGGUUUUACCUUGACGAAUUGUAGUUUAAAGAAGUGUUUUCUGUUGAAGUUUCGGUAAAAGUUCUUUGGAAUAGGACAUCAUAGAGGGUGAGAAUCCCGUAUUUGGUCAUUCCUCCUAGCGUUGUGAUACACUUUCAACGAGUCGGAUUGUUUGGGAAUGCAGUCCAAAAUGGGUGGUAAAUUUCAUCUAAAGCUAAAUAUUGGCGAGAGACCGAUAGCGAACAAGUACCGUGAGGGAAAGAUGAAAAGAACUUUGAAAAGAGAGUUAAACAGUACGUGAAAUUGUCAAAAGGGAAGCGUUUGACACCAGUGUUGUUUUUCCGAAAAUCAAUUACGAAUGUUUUGUUUUUGAGGAGUUAUGACUUCAUCGGCUUGCUCCUUUCUUUAUGAAACUUUCUUAAUGCACUUUUCGGUUAACAAGUCAACAUCAAUUUCCUUUGUUGUAAAAGGGUAAUGAGGAAGGUGGCUUUACUUUCGGAGUAAAGUGUUUAUAGCCUUUUAGCCUCUGCAAUCGGAGAGAUUGAGGUCUGCAGCGUAGAUCCUUCGGGGUUAGAUACGUUUGUGCUAAGUUAUAGCUUUUCAUAGACAACUUGUUGACUAUGUUAAGUCUUGUACUUACUCGCAUGACUGCUAUUUUACCUACGCUUAGGAUGUUGAUAUGCAUGACUGAUAU
Molecule: ribosomal RNA, 778 nt
Filed under: uncultured Neocallimastigales
Lineage: Eukaryota; Fungi; Neocallimastigomycota; Neocallimastigomycetes; Neocallimastigales
Description: partial large subunit ribosomal RNA
Rfam family: Eukaryotic large subunit ribosomal RNA
Source: RNAcentral